This 936-nucleotide long non-coding RNA is filed under the name Callithrix jacchus (white-tufted-ear marmoset). Its description in RNAcentral is "lncRNA (ENSCJAG00000079125.1)". The record is from RNAcentral. Lineage: Eukaryota; Metazoa; Chordata; Mammalia; Primates; Cebidae.
AAGAAAUGAUAAACUUUCUAGAUGUGUAUUCCAUUGCAUUACCCAGAUAACAGUUUCACUUUUUUUCCCCAGUGACCUCUGAAGUUUUUAUUGGCCUUCAGUUCCCCCAAAGGAUUCCCUGCUUCUGCUGGCUUAACGUCUGAGAACUUUGUUGUCAUUGGUCUCAGACACCACGUUACCAUCUACUAUCCGGUAGGUGGUGGUCUUUUGAAUGGUUGCAUGGGAGUUGCUGCUGUUCAAGUCAUCACCAAGAUUGAAGUCCUUGCCAUCUUCCAGCAGGUGGCGGUAGGUGGCGAACCUGUAGCUUGACCUUGAUGUUCAGCAGAGCCUGGUACUCCUGAGCCUGGUGUUGUCCCUCUGCCCAGGUCUGUGUGAGCUCCGACUCCAGGUGUAGCAGGAUCUCCUUGAGCUCCUCCAUCUGCAGGGCAUAGUGGGCCUCCACAUCCCUCAGGCUGUUCUCCAAGCUGGCCUUCAGGUGCUCCCAGAUCUUGCUCUCCAGCUGCCAGUUCUCUGUCUCCAGGCUCCUCACUCUGUCCAGGUAGGAGGCCAGGUGGUUGUUCAGGCUUUGCAUUCCUGCCAGAACCUCCCAUUCCUGCCAGAACCCCUGCCAUCCCCGCAGCCAGGCCCCUGGACCCCAAGCCACCCGGGAAGCUGGUGGAGUGGGACACAGAGAUCCAAGAACCAGAGACCCUGGCGCCUGCAUAGAUGCUGGCCACGCUGCUGACUUGCCAGGCCCUGUAGGGAUUCCUGGACAGUGCCCAGGGACCAGCAGAAGUUGGUAGAGAAGCUGGAGGAGUGGUGAAGCUCAUGCUAUUUGGGGAGGAGAGCAAGAAGACAGGACUCCGACUUUGCCAAUGACCGUUUUUCACUUUUAUCUGUAUUACAGCAAGUAUGUUUGUAUUGUAGAUUGAAUACUUUUCUAAUACAAUAAAACAC